This is a long non-coding RNA of Ictalurus punctatus (channel catfish), 1156 nucleotides long. NCBI's taxonomy places the organism in Eukaryota, Metazoa, Chordata, Actinopteri, Siluriformes, Ictaluridae. The record is from Ensembl.
CUUAGUCAGUUAAGUGGAUAUAGAAUAAAGAAAAAAAUUGUGUUUGACAUUUGGUUGUGUGUCUGUGUUUGGCUAGUAUCUUUAUUUUUCUCAAUAUGUUUAACUUUGAGCUGGCUAUAUGUAGUAAGCAGAAGUGUUAUGUCAAACUUAAAUGAGUCCAAGUUCAUUCAUGGCACAUGUGAGCUUAGUAGUUGUGCACUUUAAUGGGCAAAUAUUUGUUGUCUUUUACAGUAAAGAAGCUCAAGACUCAAGUUGUCUUUAUAAUGUUGAAUAGACAGGGUUUUUUCAUCUGACUGACAAUUUUUCACUUGAUUAGAGAUCCAGACCAAUAAACAAAUCCUUCAUGUAGCUAAAAUAUCAAAAGGAUGAGUUUCUUUGUCAUUUUGACUUGCCAAAAUGACUGGGGAUAGUGUUAAUUUGUGAUGCAUGCCUGUGAUAAAUAAGUGAGGUUGAGUACAGCUAGCACCUCUACUUUCUAUUCCACAAAAAAAAAAUUGUAUACUUUGGAGGAGGAAAUGAAAAGCUUCUUAGAAGUGCCUUUUUCUCUCUGCAGUCGGCAAGAUAGUGCACACGAGUUAGUUGACACAGACCGCUGACAUGCCUUGAGCAGGCUUCAAGUUGCGUAGGGGAGACCCCAGUGCAUUCCAAGUCCAGUGCCAUGUUCUCUUGGCCAUCAGAGGAAUGGAGCAUGAGACAAGACGUUGAGUUGGUGUUUUCUCACAGAGGAAAGCUGUAGAGUUCUGUCCUCAGUUCUCAGAUCAAACUCCUCCAGACUGAGAGAACUGAACCUGAGUGUCAAUAACCUGCAGGAUUCAGGAGUGAAGCUGCUCUCUGCUGGACUGGAGAAUCCACACUGUACACUGGAGAUACUGAGGUACACACACACAAACACAUACACUCACAUACUCACACACUCACACAUCCAGUUUCCAUCUGUGGUGAUUGUAAUUGUAGUGAUGUACAGUGAAUCCAGAAAGUAUUCACAGCGCUUCACUUUCUCCACAUUUUGUGAUGUUACAGUUUUAUUCCAAAAUGGAUUAAAUUCAUUAUUUUCCUCAAAAUUCUACUAACAAUACCCCAUAAUGACAACGUGAAAGAAGUUUGUUUGAAAUCUUUGCAAAUUUAUUUUAAAAAAAACAACAACAAAAAAAGCACA